RNAcentral lists this ribosomal RNA (371 nucleotides) under Pinna nobilis. RNAcentral describes it as "partial 16S ribosomal RNA". It matches the Rfam family "Bacterial large subunit ribosomal RNA", at positions 1983 to 2580 of the family's 2925-position model. The record is from RNAcentral. Lineage: Eukaryota; Metazoa; Mollusca; Bivalvia; Pterioida; Pinnidae.
GAGGCCUGCAUGAAUGGCUUGACGAGCGCCCUGCUGUCUCUCUUCCCAUGAACUUUUAAAUUAACUUUCGCGUGCAAAGGCGCGAAUGGCUGAGUUAGACGAAAAGACCCUAUGCAUCUUUACUGAGAGAGAAGAAAGUUCUUUAGCUUGGUUUAGCUGGGGCAGCUGAGGAAAAGGCAAAAUUUCCUUAAUAUAAAUCAUACUGGUGGGUUUAGAUCCAGGCUCUUUAGCGGGCUUGACAAGUAGAAAAGUUACGCUAGGGAUAACAGCGUUAUCCUUCUGUGGAGGUCUUAUCUGCAGGAGGGAUUGCGACCUCGAUGUUGAAUUAGGGAUAUACCAGAAAGGCGCAGAAGCUUUUAUUGUGGGUCUGU